GCUCCUCCUUCAGCCUCUUCAGCACGGCCUUGUGUUCAGACUUGGGCGUGCUCUCCAGCAGAUGAUUCCUGAGGGCCUUGUACUGCCUGGUCUGGGUUUUACAAGUGUCUUGGAAUUGCUUCUUAAUCUGAAGCUCCUUAGACUGAGAAAAAUAGUGACCGUUAAGUGACGUGUGUGCCUGUGUGUGGUUUGUCAAAGGGUCUGUUUCAAAGUGUUUUUUGUACCUUGAGGCUCUUGGGCUGCUGUCGGACCUCCAUGACAUGUUUCCGCCUCAACUCCCUCUCCCUCCUCUUGUUGUAUUCCAGCUGGUUUGUGAGCUCGGUCUGGUGCUGGGUACGGAUCAGAUCUGCCCGCGCCUUCUGGAUCGUCCCCAGAUGCCUGAACUCCAGCUCCUGCAUCGACUCGUGAUGCCGGAGCAGCAUGGCGUGCUCCAGGUCCUUCUGUGUCUGCCGUUUGUUCAGCUCCUGGAAAAAAUGAGAGAAAUUCAGGGUGGAAGUGAUACAAGAGCAGGUGAUGCUCUGUAGUUGUCUCUGCAUGUUGAAGUACCUCUCUGGCCAGAUCCUGCUCCACAUUGUGUCUGGCGAUGAGGACCCUGCGUUUGAACCGACGACACUCCAGCUCCAGGUACUGCCUCUGUCUCCUCAGCAAGUUGGCCUCCUCCUCCGCCUGGAAGUGGACACGUGGUCACAUGACUAUAAUGUACAGUAUAUCUCACAAUUCGACGGAAAUGGAGACAAGAAAACUUGGCAAGUGAAGUUUUGGGGGACAAACGAGCCAAGCAGGGUCAAACCUAGGUAGUAAUUAGAUGAGAGGUACAUUUAGUUAAUGUUGGAGAUUCAACUAAUGGUGCAAAGAUCCAUUGCCAGGUUUGAGGAAAAUUAUAACCUGAUCUUGGAAAUGUACGUAAAGUCUGAGAAAUCCUCACCUGGAAGUGCUGGAUGUUCUCUUUCUGCUUGGAGAGCCACUCCUGCUUCUCUUUCUUUGGAGUCGACUGGUUCUCACUCAGUUCCUGCCACACAAGUGAUACUUUGUUUUCUUUCAGUGUCUCAGGGGGUCAUCACUAUCGGGUUUAAUAUCAACAUUUAGCAAUUCAAGAAUGGUGUUAACUGACUGGAUGAAACUCAAAACUUUUAUUUCAUGGAAACUGGCUUUGUGAGACACAGAGAAACUUUCAGGAAAUAUCGGUCUUGAGUCAUUAAGGUGAAGAACCAAACUGGCUUCUGAGAUAAUGAAGUGUCUUUGAAAGAACAAGAUAUCUGGUGAAAUCCCCCUGGCCCCAAAAAAAGACUUACUCCGAUGAGUAUUUUUUGCAUAUAUAUUUCUGUAUGUGCGUGUGUGUGUGUAUGUGUAUGUUACCUCUUUGAGCUGCUCCUUGCGUAGUUUAUAUUCUCGUUUCUGAGACUCCAGAAAGCUGCUGAGCUCUUUCUUCUGCUGCACCUGGAUGUGCUGCUGGAACUUCUUCUCAUCAUUGGAAAAUGUCUUCAGCUAAACCAAACAUGGACAAUGACUCUUUGUCCAGCCUCAGACGGUGCUCAUCCAUCUCGCCCUUCAGCUUGUUCUCCAGACCCAUCAGGUGCUUCUGAUGUUGCCGUCUCAUUCGUUUGUAUCCUGACAUCUGCUCCCGAAGCUCAGAGUCCUGCUCGUGUUCCUGCAUCUCUCGAGUCACCUACAAGAUACACGCCAGAGAGAAUCAGUGAGGUCUGGAUUAUUUUCAAAGGUCCACCUCGCUGCGGCUGUCCUGAGCCGCUUCAUUCAGGCUGUUGACGGAGCUGCUCUGGGAGCUGGCGCUGAUGGACAUACUGGGGAUGGACUGAUUACUGCCGACGCUGUUCACUGUUCCUGUUCGACCUCCACCAGGCUCCAGCUCCUGGGACAGAGUGGAAAGAGCACAGAGAGAGAGCGAGAAAGAGAGAGAGAGAGAAAGAAAGUGAAAGAGACGGAGAGGAAAGACGAGAAAGAGACACAGAGAGAAAGAGAGACAUGCAUACAAACCAAUGCAUGCCAAAUUAUUUUCUCUUCAUGGUUGUUUUACUGUCCCACACAAAUCUUCUUUGUAUUCAGGCAUCAUUAUUUUAACAUGCAACUCAGACGCACCUCAUCUCCAUCCUGGGCUUCUGCAGCGGGUCCGUUGUGAGCCUCGUGAAGGAGGAUCUUCUUCAUCUUACGGUACUGCAGGUUGUCCAGCUCUCGCACGGCAUCCUUGGUCCUUUGAAUAAGAUCCAUUAGCACAGAGUCUGGACGUUCACGCUGCAGAAAUGCAUGCUGCAGAGGAAGGUAGCAGGAAGGAAAAGACGGAACAUCAUUGAACAGAGAAGUCACAGAAGAAAAAGAAGGAUAACAGGAAUGAAAUUCAAGUUUUUGAUACUGAAACUUUGUGUUUAACAGCGUUAAUAGGCACGAAAGUUUGUGCACUUGUUGUAACGUGUAAUAGAUUUUUUUCUUCAGGAUGUGUAACAUGUAAACGGCAAGAGAGCGAGGUGAAAGAGCUUUUCAGUUUCCAGCGCGUUUGUGACCUCAAACGUCACACGACAGUGAAAUAAAAACAGAAAAAGGCUAACUCCUCUACUUGCAAUGAGAAAAGAGUCCAUUAGUGGGUUUACCAGUGGGUUUACCAGCAGGUUUACUAACGGAUGCCCUGCAUGUACUUGCUAAUUUUGGUGUAAAUGAGAUACCCAAAGAAAAAAAAGCAGAUCAUGUCUAAUGUCAAAGUUAGUUAUUAGGGCCUAAAAUAUAAUUGGAAAUCCCAUAGCUAUUGUAAUGAUCUGCAGCCCAUUAAGAAACAUUAACUAUGUUUUCCUGUACUUUGUAGUAAAGUAAGGUAAAGUUGGACCAGUAGUUAUACUGAAGAAGAUCAAUUAGAGAAUAAGUUAAAACUAGGGCUACGUUGUAGCACUUGCGGGGCCGAGCACCUGCACGUUGAAGCCUGUUGCAGUCGGUGGAGAGAGCGACCGAAGACCAAGCGCACGUCUCCGUGUUGCGCACUGCGGCAAGGAUAAACGCUUCACUUCCUGCGUCCGUCACGCAACGUCGAUCCUUGCCUGCUUAUUGCUCAUUACGGUCCACGCUAUCAAAUAGCACAUCACACUGUGAAAAUGUUAUAUAAGUCGAAUGAUAGUUGUAAAACAAAGCUUACUUCCUGUUGCCAGUAGGUGGCGCCAUCAAUAUUAUUACUCACAGACAAAAAGAUCUGUUCAAGUAGGCGCUCUGAUGUAGCGUGAGCAGUUUUGUGUCAAUUGGAUAAUAUUACCAUAAUGUAAUUUUCACACUGAUCAGUAGGUGGCGCUACAACACUGAACUAAUAUUUAUACAUGGAGCCGUUCAGGUCAGGAUUGUGAUCAUAGGUCAUUAGUUUGGAGCCGGUUGGAUAAUGCAGAGUGGAUUAACAAAGUACUUCCUGUUUCAUGGCAAAUCAGUAGGUGGCGCUAUGACACUGAGGAAAUAUUGACACAUAGAGCUGUUCAGGCCUGGACUCUAAAUAGGUGACAGAAGUUUGGUAGUGAUGGGACAAAGCACAGUGGAGUUAUGACAACAUCGUGUCCUUGUGUAGAUGUCAUCAGGCCGGG
Long non-coding RNA from Limanda limanda (common dab), 3563 nucleotides. RefSeq lists it as uncharacterized. Lineage: Eukaryota; Metazoa; Chordata; Actinopteri; Pleuronectiformes; Pleuronectidae. The transcript is spliced from 3 exons. The record is from RefSeq and is a predicted model, not a curated record.